Molecule: long non-coding RNA, 4375 nt
Filed under: Homo sapiens (human)
Lineage: Eukaryota; Metazoa; Chordata; Mammalia; Primates; Hominidae
Description: HSALNT0305140
Source: RNAcentral
AAAAAGGCCCGCGGGCGGGCAGACGGGCGGAGUGGAGGCGGCCAGCGGCGAAGAGAGAAGCCAGCCGCGCCGCCCACGGCGUCCGCCUCCAGCGCCACGGCGUCCGCGCCCGGCCCCGGGGAGAAGAAAGAGCCUUUACGAGGCGGCGCCACUACUCACCAGGGAAAAGGGAGGGCGGAGCGGGAGACGAGGAGAUCGAGGCGACAGCGGCUGGAGCCACGGGCACACGGCCCGGGUCGGCGGCACCGGGGACAGCUCAGCGGGACUCACGACCUUCCCAGGAAGCAGCCGCGGGGGUUUCAGCGGCCGAGAAGAAGAACCACGCAGAGAGCGCCGGCAGCCAUCACUCCAGCGGAGCACCCCGCCGGCCCCUACUUAUAGCCCGCGCAGCGACCCGCGUGACCCCGCCGCGCCUCGCGCCGGCCCCGAAGCCCCGCCCCCGGCAUGACGCAGCCCUCCUCGGCCCGGCGUGCCCAGCCGGGUGAGCCCGACGGUGGCGCUCAUUGGCCCGGCCCGCUUCGGCGGCCACGCCCCCAGCGGGGAGCCGGUCCACGUGGGGCGGGACAGCCCCCUCCCUGCGGCCUCGCCCUGGAGUCUCGGCACCGUCUGGCCCCGCCGGCUGAUUACAGCCAGAGAUCGAGGGGGACCUCGCUGUCCCCCUAGAGGCCGUCAUGCGGGGUUACAGAGGCUGCGACCAAAGUCAUUCCUAGCUCCUCUCUCGGGGCUCCGGAAAGCCGUCCGCGCCUCCAGCCGCACUUUCAGCGCACGCAGGACCUGCCGCGCCCGGUGGCCACACCCGUCCCUCUGCCGGGUGACGCUGCGGGAGAUCUUGCGCCCUGGGGCUCCGGAUCCAGUUCUGGCACGUUGUUGCACCUGUGACUUGUCCUUGGCCUGGCACUGUCCCUCGCCUGGGGGAAGCGGGGGGGUGGGGGGGGGAUGCUCACGUGGUCGCUUUGCUCCCGCAGUCAUGCACUUGGGUGAAAACAGACUGAAGAGUCACGGGAACCAGCUUGUCUCCCCAGUUAUGGCGCAGAGCUGCAAGGAUGGCUGUGGGUCAUUAAUUUCUCCGUGGCUGACCUGUGUUUGUAACGCCGCAGCUGUUGCGAGGGGGAAGGACACUGCUUCGGAUUCAAAUUCUGACUCCUUGCUGCAGUGUGUCACCUUGAGCCAGUCCCAGAUCUCUGCGUUCUCACAAUUGUAAAAUGUUAACAGAGGCUGCCUACCUUGUGGCUGGAAUUAAAUGAAUUAACGUGUGUGAAUGUGACUAGAAUUCAGUACAUGUUCAGGAAAAGCUGAUUUCCGCUUUGCUGUUACCGUGAAUAUUACUGUUUUAGGGUGUAGAAAAGGGUGGAAGGGGAUGUUAUUGCAUCCUGGAAGCUUAUCCUUUUGAGGUAAAGAUUGAUUUCUGGUCCCCUGCGUGGUAUAUAGUGUAGUUUUGACAUUAUUUAGAUGUGUUAUGCACAUUUGGGUGUUGAUUAUAUGGCUUACGAUCAAGACUAACCAGUCAUGCCGUGGGAGAUUAAGGUCGUGGUCUCUUGUCAGGAUUGUAGUGAGAUUUAAAAAUUCCAGCCAGAAAUACCAGGCUUAGAAUGCUCUGAAGCCCUCCCCACAUUUUUGCCAUCUCUAGCAGGAGGGCACUGCAUAGCAGAAACAAAGACGUUGUAAAUUGUUGCUGCCUGAGUCAUUUAUAGAGGCUUAAACAACCUGAAUGUCCUCUGACCUACCUGUAACAUUUGAUGGAGUUGUAUGAGUAACUUACAAAGCUGUAGGUCCCAAGGUCGGUCUGAAAAAGAAAGUUCAUAUCCGGGAGCACUGACCCCGUAGUGUAAUCCUGGCACCUUAAAACGUACUGCUCCCUCCACCUUCACUUCAAGGUUAUGAAAACAUUGAGUAAAAGGGAUGAUCUGUUCAAAGUCCUUAGUGUUCUGCCAAUUUAAAACAGUAAUUUUCAAAGCAGUUAUUUGCAAGGAAAUUGCCUAGAACUUCUCCCAGUGUGCGGUUGUUUUGUGUGUUUGUGUGUGUGUUUUGUUUGUUUGUUUUCAGUCUGUCCACAGGCGUACUUUUAUAGGUCUGUGAUAGUAGGUAGCUCUUCAAGUUGGCAAACACCUGCUGGACAACCCCUGAGAGAUUCAUCUGAGUGAGAGAGCACUCUCCAGCCCCAUCGGAGUGGGUUUGCAGGGAAAUCAUAAGGAAGAAAUCCUUAUCUUUCCAACACUGAGAUGCUUCUGCCGAAGAGUAGAAUGGGAGGUGAGGAAUUGGGGUGGGCCCUCACUGCUUUGCCUCCGGAUCAGUAGGGUACAGCCCUUGGAGACCAGGAUCUUCCUUGGCUGGGACACCUUCGUCCUCCCCUAAGGGAGGAGAGGUAGGGAUCUGCCUGUGGAAAGAAGUUACAGUGCCUUUUAAAUAGAAAUAGGAGGUAGGAGGACCGUCAGUUGUCAGUUCGUGCACAAAUGGCAUUGUUUCUGGCCUUAUCUCUGAAUGCUGAGGAAACAGGUCAGAGAUCCUAAAGAGAAUCUAAUCUCUUAGAAUCCAGGCAUUGGCACAAACCCCCUCUAGCAUCUUAGGGAGGUGGUUUGGUGUAGUGGUUAAACACAUAGACUGUAAGACCAAACCACCUGCUCUGUCACUCACUAGUCCUGUGACCAUAGGCAAAUAAAUUAUCUGCCUCAGUUUCCUGAUCUGUAAAGGGGUGAGAUUGAGACUUCUAACUCACAGUGCUGUUGUGAGGACCAAAUGAAUGAAUAUAUGUAAAGCCCUUGUAAAAGGGCUCUUAUUCUCUUUGUUCAAUAACUAGCUGAAGGCCUGUCAUACAUAGCCCAUGUUUAAAAUGAAGUAUGUGUCAGAUGUCAGGACCACCCUCUUCUCCCUGCCCUCUGAUCCAAGCCCUUUCAAAUUUCUCCCACGGCUCAUAGUGAGGGGACACGCAAAACGGGCUGCUGCCGGAGGAAGAGGAACAGUGUUGUGGCUCAUGCCAUAUGAAUGGGCUCACUGGCCUGGCCCAGACCCUGACUGCCCACAGGAUCUUUGGUGAGUCACUGUCACUGAGCCUGUGAGCCUAGGGUCCCUCUCCAACCUCACCCUCAGAGAGGACAGAACAAGAUGACCUGUGGCAUGCUGCAGAACACCAUGUUGGGGACUGUGGGUUUAGAGUCCUCUUGGGGACAUGUCCAUCGUUCACUAAUUCGGUGGAGUUGAGCUGCUGAGAGCUAGGAAAGCUACUCUCCCCCCGGAUCCCAACCUAGCCCUGUGGAAGACCAGACAAAAGAAGGAAGCAAUGACAUUUCUGCACUUUUUAGUUCAGAGAGGCACAGUCAAGGAAAUGCAUUUGAGGUCACUGUUCGAUGUACUUGAAGUACUCAUCCUGGAAAUAGUCUACUUGGAGUAGAGGGAGCUCAAGUGGGCAUGGGAACGUUGUGGAACCAGACCAGGAACAAAGGCGGCUUCAGAGGCCGUCUGUGAGGACUUGCAUGGGAGCAGGGGCGAGAACAUCCAGGGAAGAGAAGGUAGGAGCCUUGGAGUAAAGGAGAACCAGCUCCUCUCCACCCACCAAUGCCCUCCCCAUCCCCAGAUGAAUGAGGUAAUAAUAAUACCUGUAGCUGGACAUGGUGGCUCAAGCUUGUAAUCCCAGCAUUUUGGGAGGCCAAGGCGGGUGGAUCACCUGAGGACGGGAGUUCGAGACCAGCCUAUCAACAUGGAGAAACCCUGUCUCUACUAAAAAUACAAAAAUUAGUUGGGCACGGUGGUGCAUGGCUGUAAUCCCAGCUACUUGGGAGGCUGAGGCAGGAGAAUCACUUGAACCCGGGAGGCGGAGAUUGCGGUGAGCCAAGAUCGUGCCAUUGCACUCCAGCCUGGGCAACAAGAGCAAAACUCCAUCUCAAAAUAAUAAUAAUAAUAAUAUCUGUGAUGCAGUUGAAUGCUUACUGUGUGCCAGGUACUAUUUCAGGUGCUCUGCAUGGAUUAUCUCAGGUGAUGCUCUCAAUAAAUCUCAGAUGAGGUAUUUUCCCCUUACUUUAUAGACAGAGAAACGGAGGCACAGAGAAGGAAGCGGCAGUUAAAGCUGCGAAGAACCUAACAAAUUUCAAGAUUGUAAGUGCCUUUUCCCAGGAUGCCAGCAAGUACUGAGGCAAGUAUGAUUGCCCUAGGUGCCAACUCUUAUUUGCACUUAACACAUUUACUUCCUCCUUCUUUCCCCCUCCUUUUUAUUAACUCUGUUGCUUUUACAGCCUGUAUUUUGAGCUGCAUCAAACCCUGUUGGAAUAAAAAAGGACAUUUCUAGGAGAUCAGUCUUCGAGAUUGGCCCCAGUUUCCCCAGAGUAGGAAGAGGCAGGAAGCCAGAGCACAUGUUCUCUCCAGAAAUAAAGUUGUUGCAGUGGCC